UGAUUCGGGGGGCCGGGCCUCACUGAUCACUGUAGGAAAACACAACUUUAUAACUUUAUUCGUUAUUUUUGGUGAAUCUCGAUCGAAUUUUAUGGAUAAAAUAUUUUGUGGCUCUUCCUCUACUGCUCUCCGGCUGUUCGGCCGCAACAGUUUGCGGAUGGACUGAUAGCUUUCUGUACUUGUUGCUAAAGUAGCGGCUAACUGGUUAGCCUCCAUUAGCUAGUCACCGCAGUUAGCCGGCACCUACCAGUCCUGUUAGCUGACUCUACCCCGACUGCGAGCUUCGAGCGCCGGUAGGAGUUUUGGUUUUCACACCGCUAGCACCGGAGCUUUGGUCCACCGGGGGGAGGAGGUUCCCAGGCCCGGGGUGGGAGGGGUGGGGGGCGCAGCGGGAAAUGCUGGCUGGGAGCGGCACCGGAAUGGGCACCAGAACCGGAUCCGGACGGGCGGGCAACGGAACCGGGCUUAACAGCCUCGCGGUGAACACAGCUGGACCAGGACCCAACACAGCGUCUGGGACCGACGGGGGCCAGUUCGAGGACAGAGAAUACAGUACCGAGGUGGUUUACAGCGGCUCCGAACAGGACUCGGACUCCGGGGAUGAGGAGGACGCGGCGGGUUCAGGCGGGGACAGGAGAGGAGUGAAGCGGGAGAGGAGCGAGCGGGAGGUCGGGCAUCAGUCAGCACACACCUCCGGAGGCCUGAGCGGGAGUUACGUCGGGGUCAGUCCCGGGGUGCCAGGGGCCAAACCCGGCAAGAAAACCAGAGGAAGAGUCAAGAUCAAGAUGGAGUUCAUAGACAACAAACUGCGGCGGUACACAACUUUCAGCAAGAGGAAGACUGGGAUCAUGAAGAAGGCGUACGAGUUGUCCACGUUGACCGGUACUCAGGUGUUGCUGCUGGUUGCCAGUGAGACGGGUCACGUGUACACCUUUGCCACCAGGAAGCUGCAGCCCAUGAUCACCUCGGAGACGGGGAAGGCUCUGAUCCAGACCUGCCUCAACUCUCCGGACUCCCCGCCUCGCUCCGACCCCUCCUCCGACCAGAGGAUGAGCGCCACGGGCUUUGAGGAGACCGACCUCACCUACCAGGUGUCUGAGGCGGACGGGUGCUCAGAGGUCACCAAGGAUCUGAUCAAACCAGCGUUCACCAUGUCCAGCCUGCCCGGCACCACACAGCCCACGCCCUCUUCCUCCUCCGCCUCCUCCUCGUCUUUGUCCUCUGUGUCCAUGCAGGUGCAAACCAGCGCCCCCUCGUGGCAGCCACCGUCCUCCACCACCAACGGGACGGUGCUGAAGACGUCGGCAGGUGUCGUGCUUCCUGGAGGCUUCACCUUGAUGCCAGGUGCCUCGCUGCCCCCCGGCACACACACCAUUCCCCUCAGCCAGCUGCAGAGCCAGCCUCUGGCCAUCCAGGGCCCCGUCGCCCCGGGCCACGCUGCCACGAUGCACGCUCCGCCCACACAGCCAGCCACGCUGCUCCGCCUCCCCGCCACCGUGUCACUGUCAGGAGGCGGAGUCUCUCAGCAGCUGCAAACCAUCCAGGUCCAGCCCAGCAGUCAGCAGGCCUCCACCAAUCAGAGCAGCUCAGACAUCCACAACCCCACCUCCUCCACAGCCAGUCUUUCUGCGUCCAUCGUCUCCUCCUCAUCAUCCUCCUCUUCCUCAGUGGCAGGUCACAUGAUGUAUCCAGGUGGUCACACGGUGAUGUACGCUGCACCAACGCCUUCGCUUGGUGACGGCAGCCUCACCGUCCUCAACACCUUCCCUCCGACAGGCCACGCCCAGUCACAUGAUCCCGGGGCUGUCCCGCAGGUCUUCCUCACCUCGCUCCCUCCGGUCGCCGCUCAGAUCCCGGUGUCGGCGGUCCAGCUCCACCCGAUGGUGAUCAGUCAGCAGAGCAGCAGCAGCAGCAACCUGACGGAGCUGCAGGUCGUCAGUCUGGACGUCCACCAAGCAAAAGACGACUGACUGUCCCACCACACACACACUCACACACUCACACACUCACACACACACACUCACACACUCACACACACACACACACACACUCACACACACACACACACACACACUCACACACACACACACACACACACACACACACACACUCACACACACACACACACACACACACACACACACAGAGUUUUGUCUUACAUUGGUUGUGAGGACACCGGUUGACAUAAUGCAUUCCCUGCAUUAACCAGCUAACCCGACCCUAAGCCCAGACCGUACCCAGAGUCAGGGGCAGGUUGGGGCUGAAACACAUCAUGUGUCCUGCAGAGACAGUACAGGUCUGUGUGUAAUGAAUGUAUCGUCUCUCCUCUCACUGUCUUCGCUUCAUCUUCUUCAGUUUUCUGUUUCACUUCCAGACAAAAAAGUGCCAAAAAUAUUGAGACGCCGGUCAAAGUCUAGAAACCUAUGAACCAUGUUUACGUCACAUUCCUGCACUGUCAGUUCAUUUCCACCAGCUCACAGAGAGGACAUCAGUCUGUCACAGCCCAGGAAGCUGUGUCUCACACUCUGCACUGACCCCACAGCUCUCUGCAGGUGUCCACAGGAAAUAGAAAAUAUAAAAGCAGUGACGUGGACUUUGAGCACCAGCUGAUCAUUCGAUCACGUAUCACACAGAUAUAUCCUGACCACAGUGUGGUGUUGAACUGGGACGCUGAACUGGUUUCAUCUGUGUUUUACUGACGGGCUCAGUGAGGAUGCACCGACCAGUCUCCAGUAAAACCAGCAGCUCUGAUCUGAUCUGGGUUCAGCUUCACUGGGAUCUGCAGGACGACGCUCGUCAGACCUGAGGAACCUUUUUACAAACAAAUGUUUUUGGACCUUUUGACUUAAAGUCAGAGAUAUUUUUGUUCUUGGCUGAUUUUUCUCUCAGCAUCACAAACUGAAGCAGGUCAGGUGUCAGCAGUUUGACCUCUGACCUCCUCCAUGUGUUCACAGUGUUUUCAUUUCUUCAUGUGUGGACGUAUGUUUAUAUACUGUGAUUUUUCUUUGUUAGCUGCAGAUUGUUUCCUCUGAAACAAUCAAUGAAUAAAAAGACUUGGUGAGAAAACAUCAUGUUCAGGGCUGGAACACGGAGCGGCCCCGGACCCUCAGGGGCCUCAGGGGCCCCAGGCUUCAGCAGAAUCACUUUUAUUAUCACGAUAUGUUUUUACAUGUACGGUGAGAUGAACACGGGUCACGGUUAUCAGUGGGUGGAGAUCGGUUGGUGGGAACUUCAUUUGAAAUGUGUUUGGGAAUCAGCUCUAAAAUAAAGCCUUUUAUGAACUGAAUUUUGCAGGGGCCCUCAGGUGUCCCUGCCUGACAGAGGGGCCCC
This is an RNA transcript of Toxotes jaculatrix (banded archerfish), 3330 nucleotides long. It is a transcript of the gene named serum response factor-like, with no coding region annotated. Lineage: Eukaryota; Metazoa; Chordata; Actinopteri; Toxotidae. The transcript is spliced from 9 exons. The record is from RefSeq and is a predicted model, not a curated record.